UACGGAGGGUGCAAACGUUGCUCGGAAUCAUUGGGCGUAAAGCGCACGUAGGCGGCUUCUUAAGUCGGUGGUGAAAUCCUGGAGCUCAACUCCAGAACUGCCUUCGAUACUGAGAGUCUCGAGUCCGGGAGAGGUGAGUGGAACUGCGAGUGUAGAGGUGAAAUUCGUAGAUAUUCGCAAGAACACCAGUGGCGAAGGCGGCUCACUGGCCCGGUACUGACGCUGAGGUGCGAAAGCGUGGGGAGCAAACAGG
RNAcentral lists this ribosomal RNA (253 nucleotides) under uncultured bacterium. RNAcentral's name for it is "partial 16S ribosomal RNA". It matches the Rfam family "Bacterial small subunit ribosomal RNA", at positions 524 to 776 of the family's 1533-position model. The record is from RNAcentral.